UGGCGGACGGGUGAGUAAUGUCUGGGAAACUGCCUGAUGAGGGGGAUAACUACUGGAAACGGUAGCUAAUACCGCAUAACGUCGCAAGACCAAAGAGGGGGACCUUCGGGCCUCUUGCCAUCGGAUGUGCCCAGAUGGGAUUAGCUAGUAGGUGGGGUAACGGCUCACCUAGGCGACGAUCCCUAGCUGGUCUGAGAGGAUGACCAGCCACACUGGAACUGAGACACGGUCCAGACUCCUACGGGAGGCAGCAUG
RNAcentral lists this ribosomal RNA (255 nucleotides) under uncultured bacterium. RNAcentral describes it as "partial 16S ribosomal RNA". It matches the Rfam family "Bacterial small subunit ribosomal RNA", at positions 96 to 353 of the family's 1533-position model. The record is from RNAcentral.